This 301-nucleotide ribosomal RNA is filed under the name uncultured bacterium. RNAcentral describes it as "partial 16S ribosomal RNA". It matches the Rfam family "Bacterial small subunit ribosomal RNA", at positions 509 to 807 of the family's 1533-position model. The record is from RNAcentral.
CAGUCGCCGCGGUAAUACGUAGGGUGCAAGCGUUAAUCGGAAUCACUGGGCGUAAAGCGUGCGCAGACGGUUUGUUAAGACAGAUGUGAAAUCCCCGGGCUCAACCUGGGAACUGCAUUUGUGACUGGCAAGCUAGAGUAUGGCAGAGGGGGGUGGAAUUCCGCGUGUAGCAGUGAAAUGCGUAGAUAUGCGGAGGAACACCAGUGGCGAAGGCGACUCUCUGGUCUGUAACUGACGCUGAGGAGCGAAAGCGUGGGGAGCGAACAGGAUUAGAUACCCCAGUAGUCCCUGUCUCUUAUAC